GAGAGUUCGAUCCUAGCUCAGGAUGAACGCUAGCGGCGUGCUUAAGGUAUGCAAGUCGAACGAGUCGGAUUUCGGACCUCAGACGUCAGAUUUCGGAUCUCGGAUAUCAGAUUUCAGAUUUGUUGUUAUUACUUUCGCGAGACUGUUUAAUUGCUUUGAGAUAGAUAUGUAUCUCUCUUUGGCUUUGCCAAGCAACUCAACAGGUACAUGGUUAAAUUGUGAUGAAGCGAUAAUGUCGAGAUGGGUGAUUGUUUCGUCAGAGGAAGACGUUGCUUCUACGACGAAACGGCGGAAUUCUCUUUGAGAGCUCUUUCUUCCAUAACCUUCAGAGAUUAGGGGAGGGAUGCUCUUUGAGGAUCGAAGCACUUGUCUUUUCGUAUCGGAAAGCUCUCCAUAAAGAAGUUUUGCGAUAUUCUCGAUUUCUCUAAACGCUUCCAUCGAUUCCAUAUAAACGCGAAGUUGAGUUACAUUCAUUGUGAUUAAUAUUAACAAAUCUGAUCUCUGAUUUCUGGUAUCUGAUAUCUGGUUUCUGGAGUCCGAUAUCCGAUAAGUGGCGGACGGGUGAGUAAUGCGUGGGAAGAUACCCUCAGGUGGUGAAUACCCCCGCGAAAGCGGGGCUAAUACACCGUGGUCUCCGGUAGCAAUAUCGGAGUAUAGGUCGCCGCAAGGUGACCGCCAGAGGAUUCGCCUGCGUCCCAUCAGCUAGUUGGUAGGGUAAUGGCCUACCAAGGCUUUGACGGGUAGCUGGACUGAGAGGUCGGCCAGCCACAAGGGCACUGAGACACGGGCCCUACACCUACGGGUGGCAGCAAUCGGGAAUCUUGCGCAAUGGGCGAAAGCCUGACGCAGCGACGCCGCAUGAAGGAUGAAGGCUUUCGGGUCGUAAACUUCUGAAAAUAGCACCGGCAAACUACGUGCCAGCAGCAGCGGUAAUACGUAGGGUGCAAGCGUUAUCCGGAUUUAUUGGGCGUAAAGAGUUCUGUAGGCGUCUUCUUAAGUUUCUGGUUAAAUCCCCCGACUCAAUCGGGGACAAGCUGGAAAUACUGGGAGGAUUGAGAAAGAUAGGGGGUAGCGGAAUUGGUGGCGUAGCGGUGAAAUGCGUUGAUCCCACCAAGAACAUCAAAGGCGUAGGCAGCUACCUGGGUCUUUUCUGACGCUGAGAGACGAAAGCGUGGGGAGCAAAACGGAUUAGAUACCCGUGUAGUCCACGCUGUAAACUUUGGACACUGGAUUCCUGUUCUCUCACCUUCGGGUGGGGGAGUGGGUGUCGAAGCUAACGCGUUAAGUGUCCCGCCUGGGGAGUACGGCCGCAAGGCUAAAACUCAAAGGAAUUGACGGGGACCCGCACAAGCAGUGGAACACGUGGUUUAAUUGGAUGUUAACCCAAGAACCUUACCCAGAUUUGACAUGGAAGCUGCACACCCCGAGAAAUCGGGGCUCCUUCGAGGGUGCUUCCACAGGUGUUGCAUGGCUGUUGUCAGCUCGUGUCGUGAGAUGUACCCUUAAGUGGGCUAACGAGCGCAACCCCUAUUGCUAGUUGUAUCACUCUAGCGAAACUGCCGUUCUUAUGAACGGAGGAAGGAAGGGAUGACUUCAAGUCAGCAUGGCCUUUAUAUCUGGGGCCACACACAUGUUACAAUGGCGCGCACAACGAGUUUGCGACUCCGCGAGGGGAAGCUAAUCUCUAAAAUCGCGUCUCAGUUCGGAUUGAAGGCUGCAACUCGCCUUCAUGAAGUUGGAAUUGCUAGUAAUCGCUGGUCAGCUAUACAGCGGUGAAUACGUUCUCGG
RNAcentral lists this ribosomal RNA (1788 nucleotides) under candidate division WWE3 bacterium CG08_land_8_20_14_0_20_41_15. RNAcentral's name for it is "bacterial SSU rRNA". It matches the Rfam family "Bacterial small subunit ribosomal RNA", at positions 7 to 1377 of the family's 1533-position model. Lineage: Bacteria; candidate division WWE3. The record is from RNAcentral.